RNAcentral lists this ribosomal RNA (492 nucleotides) under uncultured bacterium. RNAcentral describes it as "partial 16S ribosomal RNA". It matches the Rfam family "Bacterial small subunit ribosomal RNA", at positions 28 to 507 of the family's 1533-position model. The record is from RNAcentral.
GAUGAACGCUAGCUACAGGCUUAACACAUGCAAGUCGAGGGGAAACGACAUCGAAAGCUUGCUUUUGAUGGGCGUCGACCGGCGCACGGGUGAGUAACGCGUAUCCAACCUGCCCACCACUUGGGGAUAACCUUGCGAAAGUAAGACUAAUACCCAAUGAUAUCCCACGAAGCCAUCUGAAUGGGAUUAAAGAUUUAUCGGUGAUGGAUGGGGAUGCGUCUGAUUAGCUUGUUGGCGGGGUAACGGCCCACCAAGGCAACGAUCAGUAGGGGUUCUGAGAGGAAGGUCCCCCACAUUGGAACUGAGACACGGUCCAAACUCCUACGGGAGGCAGCAGUGAGGAAGAUUGGGCAAUGGGCGAGAGCCUGAACCAGCCAAGUAGCGUGCAGGAAGACGGCCCUAUGGGUUGUAAACUGCUUUUAUAAGAGAAUAAAGUGGGUCACGUGUGACUUUUUGCAUGUACCUUAUGAAUAAGGACCGGCUAAUUCCGUG